This 484-nucleotide ribosomal RNA is filed under the name uncultured bacterium. RNAcentral describes it as "partial 16S ribosomal RNA". It matches the Rfam family "Bacterial small subunit ribosomal RNA", at positions 30 to 507 of the family's 1533-position model. The record is from RNAcentral.
AUUGAACGCUGGCGGCAGGCCUAACACAUGCAAGUCGAGCGGAUGAAGGGAGCUUGCUCCUGGAUUCAGCGGCGGACGGGUGAGUAAUGCCUAGGAAUCUGCCUGUUAGUGGGGGAUAACGUCCGGAAACGGGCGCUCAUACCGCAUACGUCCUGAGGGAGAAAGUGGGGGAUCUUCGGACCUCACGCUAUCAGAUGAGCCUAGGUCGGAUUAGCUAGUUGGUGGGGUAAAGGCCUACCAAGGCGACGAUCCGUAACUGGUCUGAGAGGAUGAUCAGUCACACUGGAACUGAGACACGGUCCAGACUACUACGGGAGGCAGCAGUGGGGAAUAUUGGACAAUAGGCGAAAGCCUGAUCCAGCCAUGCCGCGUGUGUGAAGAAGGUCUUCGGAUUGUAAAGCACUUUAAGUUGGGAGGAAGGGCAGUAAGUUAAUACCUUGCUGUUUUGACGUUACCAACAGAAUAAGCACCGGCUAACUUCGUG